UUAGAUUUGUUUCCAAGCUUCACCAGGUCCACUCUGCUUCAAUCAGCUUUGCUGCAUGUGGUUCCAGGGUAAGGAGAGCUGCUUUCUCCAAACACUCCACCCACGGUCCUGGAAUUCAUCACAGCAACCAGACUUGGAUCCCAUGUCAGGCUGUGAGCCACCCGUGGUGUCUGGGGAUGAAAUGUGCUGAUUCCCCAGGCCAAGCUCCCCCAGAAAGAAAAGAGGUGAUGCCAGCCCUUGAAAAAAGGAGAACAGACGCUAAGUGGGAGUUCAUCUUAUUUGUAAAUAGCAAGAGAUGGGAAACAACCCAAGUGGCCAUCAGUAGGGGAACAGUGAAAUAAAUCAUGACACAUCUCUGCAGCGGAGUGCCCAGUGCUCUAAGGAAGAAGGAGGCUGUGCUUGUGUUCCUGAAGGAAGAUCCCCGGGGGUAUUCUGAAGUGAAACAGCUAAGGUUCAGGAGCUCUACGGAGUAGUGUGUUGCUUUUUAUGUAAGAAAUAAAAAAUUAGAAUGUG
This is a long non-coding RNA of Chinchilla lanigera (long-tailed chinchilla), 513 nucleotides long. RefSeq lists it as uncharacterized. The transcript has 2 exons. Lineage: Eukaryota; Metazoa; Chordata; Mammalia; Rodentia; Chinchillidae. The record is from RefSeq and is a predicted model, not a curated record.